Molecule: ribosomal RNA, 510 nt
Filed under: uncultured Methanosaeta sp.
Lineage: Archaea; Methanobacteriati; Methanobacteriota; Methanomicrobia; Methanotrichales; Methanotrichaceae
Description: bacterial SSU rRNA
Rfam family: Archaeal small subunit ribosomal RNA
Source: RNAcentral
UGCGCCCUUGCCAGCCCGCUCAGAAACUUAAAGGAAUUGACGGGGGAGCACCACAACGGGUGGAGCUUGCGGUUUAUUGGAUUCAACGCCGGAAAUCUUACCGGGACCGACAGCAAUAUGAAGGCCAGGCUGAAGACUUUGCCGGAUUAGCUGAGAGGUGGUGCAUGGCCGUCGUCAGUUCGUACUGUGAAGCAUCCUGUUAAGUCAGGCAACGAGCGAGACCCACGCCCACAGUUGCCAGCGUACUCUCUGGAGUGACGGGUACACUGGUGGGGACCGCCGCUGCUAAAGCGGAGGAAGGAAUGGGCAACGGUAGGUCAGUAUGCCCCGAAUAUCCCGGGCUACACGCGAGCUACAAUGGUUGGUACAAUGGGUAUCUACCCCGAAAGGGGACGGGAAUCUCCUAAAACCAAUCUUAGUUCGGAUUGGGGGCUGCAACUCGCCCUCAUGAAGCUGGAAUCCGUAGUAAUCGCGUUUCAACAGAACGCGGUGAAUACGUCCCUGCUCCUU